GGGAAUUUUGCGCAAUGGGGGAAACCCUGACGCAGCAACGCCGCGUGGAGGAUGAAAUCCCUUGGGACGUAAACUCCUUUCGAUCGGGACGAUAAUGACGGUACCGAUAGAAGAAGCCCCGGCUAACUUCGUGCCAGCAGCCGCGGUAAUACGAGGGGGGCAAGCGUUGUUCGGAAUUAUUGGGCGUAAAGGGUGCGUAGGCGGCCCCGCAAGUCUUGUGUGAAAUCCCUAAGCUCAACUUCGGGACUGCACGAGAAACUGCUGGGCUGGAGUAUGGGAGAGGUGAGUGGAAUUCCUGGUGUAGCGGUGAAAUGCGUAGAUAUCAGGAGGAACACCUGUGGCGAAAGCGGCUCACUGGACCAUAACUGACGCUGAGGCACGAAAGCUAGGGGAGCAAAC
This 399-nucleotide ribosomal RNA is filed under the name uncultured bacterium. RNAcentral describes it as "bacterial SSU rRNA". It matches the Rfam family "Bacterial small subunit ribosomal RNA", at positions 357 to 773 of the family's 1533-position model. The record is from RNAcentral.